RNAcentral lists this ribosomal RNA (450 nucleotides) under uncultured bacterium. RNAcentral describes it as "partial 16S ribosomal RNA". It matches the Rfam family "Bacterial small subunit ribosomal RNA", at positions 354 to 796 of the family's 1533-position model. The record is from RNAcentral.
GUGGGGAAUAUUGGACAAUGGGCGAAAGCCUGAUCCAGCCAUGCCGCGUGUGUGAAGAAGGUCUUCGGAUUGUAAAGCACUUUAAGUUGGGAGGAAGGGCAUUAACCUAAUACGUUAGUGUUUUGACGUUACCGACAGAAUAAGCACCGGCUAACUUCGUGCCAGCAGCCGCGGUAAUACGAAGGGUGCAAGCGUUAAUCGGAAUUACUGGGCGUAAAGCGCGCGUAGGUGGUUCGUUAAGUUGGAUGUGAAAGCCCCGGGCUCAACCUGGGAACUGCAUCCAAAACUGGCGAGCUAGAGUACGGUAGAGGGUGGUGGAAUUUCCUGUGUAGCGGUGAAAUGCGUAGAUAUAGGAAGGAACACCAGUGGCGAAGGCGACUACCUGGACUGAUACUGACACUGAGGUGCGAAAGCGUGGGGAGCAAACAGGAUUAGAAACCCGAGUAGUCC